RNAcentral lists this ribosomal RNA (253 nucleotides) under uncultured bacterium. RNAcentral's name for it is "partial 16S ribosomal RNA". It matches the Rfam family "Bacterial small subunit ribosomal RNA", at positions 524 to 776 of the family's 1533-position model. The record is from RNAcentral.
UACGUAGGGUGCAAGCGUUAAUCGGAAUUACUGGGCGUAAAGCGUGCGCAGGCGGUUUUGUAAGUCUGUCGUGAAAGCCCCGGGCGCAACCUGGGAAUUGCGUUGGAGACUGCAAGGCUAGAAUCUGGCAGAGGGGGGUAGAAUUCCACGUGUAGCAGUGAAAUGCGUAGAGAUGUGGAGGAACACCGAUGGCGAAGGCAGCCCCCUGGGUCAAGAUUGACGCUCAUGCACGAAAGCGUGGGGAGCAAACAGG